AAUAUUUUCCUUAUUGGCAGAGAGGAAGAGAUAGUGUGGAACUUGGGGCUUUGAUGGAUGAAUUUAGUCUAUGAUCAUGCUGUGGAUUGUGAUCAAGAACUUGUUCCUUUCUGCACCCAGCGGCUGAGUCAACUCUUGUGUGACAGGUUGUUCAGUGAGAGAAGCUUGAAGCUGCAGCAAUCAACACAUUUUUGGAAGGAAAAAGAAAAAUGUUGAUGACUACCAUGCAAAUUAUUUCUUUGAUAUUGCUCAUACUUAAGUCUGAUGUAAAUGCGUACUUGAAAUAUUGCCAUUAUGAAUUCGGGUUUUAAGAGGCAAAAUUGUUGUUUUUAUUUCUUCUC
Molecule: long non-coding RNA, 341 nt
Organism: Ipomoea nil (Japanese morning glory)
Lineage: Eukaryota; Viridiplantae; Streptophyta; Magnoliopsida; Solanales; Convolvulaceae
Exons: 2
Source: RefSeq, a predicted model, not a curated record